GUGGAAGGGGGGACCUCUCUGUUCGCAUCUCCUCUCGCGACUUCUCACUGAGCUAGGGCUCGUGCAGCCACUCCUUCGUCUCCUCCUCCUUCACCAACAGCUGGCGGCCACCUUUGCUUAUCCAUCGCCGCUAGCCAGAGCUUGUCCCUCCAUCAUCUGUGAUUUCCAUUUCCCUUCCCUACUCGGAUUUCUUCUCAGACGACGAAGUUGGCGGUGAAGAUAUCGAUAGCAGCUGGCGUUCUACCUCCGACCAUCUGGAAAUCUCACCGGAGGGGUUCUCCGGUGCGUAUUUUUCUUACACUCCCGAACCUCCACAACUCCUCCCCUGCUAGAAAUGGUGAAGAAGGCAGCGGGAUUCAUCUUCAUCUCAUCGGGAAGAUGUUUUUAUGCAAAGACUCUAUCCGAGUGGUUCUUGGGUGGAGGAUUCGCAUUAUCAAGUGGAAACUCUAGUUCUCGUCGGUUCUUCAUAGCCAACUAUCGAAGCUUGGAGUUCAUUCUUCGGCCUUCUUGUGUGACAGCAGGGGAGGAUAGAAGAGAAGAAGCUUGCACCCACUUCCUUCAUCCGAUCAGUUCAUCAUCCGUUCUUCCAACAGAGUAGCCCACAUUCGAACUCCAUCACAGCUAUACAAAGCAAGCUCGGUUCAUUUUAGUUUGAUAUGUGAUUUGAUGAUCUACUUUGUUGAUGUUUGAUUGUUUGCUUGUGUUCAUGUUUUAGUGCUGGUAUGAAUUCAUUAUUGGUUGAAUUGUAAUUGACUUGAAUUCUCCCAUAUUUUAGUGCACGUACUAAUGCUAUUUUGAUUCAUGCUCGUGAAGUGUUCGACAAAAUGUUUCUUCCAACAGUAGGUUUAAAUUUGUGCGCGCACUUUAUUUCACUUAAUGUUUGCUUGUCUUGUCUUUUGCAAUUGCUAUAAGUUUUGUUCUUCGUUUGAAUGCAAUUAGGCUAGGGUAGAUUAGCUUUCUUUAAUACUCUAAGUUACAUUCCAUGCUUAGUUUCAUUAUUUGUUUACUCUAUGUUGUCUUUAAUUUCCUUGCAAUCAUAGUUUAAGUUAGACUAGGUUUUCUUAUUUGCAUCGUCUUUCAUUUACUAGGUUAGGUUCAUUUAAUGUUUUUCUAUUUCAUUCCUUAGAUUAAUUCCGUUAAUGGUGAAAUCAUAGCAUAGAGUGACAAUGCACUAUGAGAUCACUACUAAUGGAUAGAUAGGAUGUCUUUCAUUAAUUAGGAUUAGAUUUCAUACUUGCUUUGCUCUUUUUUUUCUUAGGUUUAAUUUCAUACUUGUUUUGUUAUUUCAUAUCGUAGUUCAAAAUUCAAAACCCAAAACCCCAGUUUCAUAUAAAAAUCAAAAAACCAUAACUAAUCCUGAAGUUAUCACUCUAUCGUUACAUUCUUUGGGAGACGACCCGAAUCAUCUCUAUAUUACUUUAGUGUAGAGGGGUUUAGUAAACUUUAAUUGUAAUUUGAUAAGCUCCCGUAGCACGACACUCGAGCUCACAUUAAAUUUUGGCGACAUCGCCGGGGAUAUUAUAGUGGUGUUUGAUAAUUUUAGGAUUGCUUUCUUAUUUUUCUACAAAAAUUUCUAAAAAAAAAUUGUUAAAUGCUUUAAUGUUCAUAGAUUCAUGUGUUUGAUAUCAUAUACUCCUGUGUCUUCUAAUCUUGUCUGUUAGUGUUUCAGUGUAAGACCAGGACAAUUCUUUCAGUUCAACUUGGAUCUUUAUUCUCAGCAAUUUGGAAGCUGCAAUGAAUAUCACAAUUUGGAUACUGGGCAAGUGAGACACAUAUGUACUAAUUGUGGCAGUCCUUCUCAUCCAGUUGCUAUAUGUCAUCUCAUUCAAAAGACUGCUAGAUUUCCUAUGGAACCCCAGUAUUUCCAACAUCAAUAUCAACAGGCAUAUGAUCUAGCUCCUAGUACCUAUACUCAUGACUAGGGUAAUUAUUCGACUCAGUACUUUCAACCCCAGAUUCCAGAGCAGCAUGGAUACUUCCAAUCCCAAUGCUAUCAACCCCAACUAAUUCUUGAACAAUAUGGAAAUACAUGGCAACAUGCUAUUGAUCAUCCUCAGUGUUACAAUUCAGACUGGAUGGACCAUCCAAAUUUUAUGCACGGGAACACGCAGCAACAAUUGAAUCAAUCUUUUUCAGCAUAUCAGAUGCCACAAGGAUUUCAGGAUGAUUCUAUGCCCACAUGGUCACAUUCGGUCCAGCAGAUUGAACCAGCUCCUUGGGGGACAUUUCAAGAAAGCACUGAAGAAGUUCAUGCCCCUAAUCAAUCAAUAUUUCAAGAUUUGAAGGAUGUAAUGUAGCAGAUGCAGCAACAAUAAGAGGCAUAUAUUCAGUCUCAACAAAGAAAUGAAGCAUCACUACAAAAUUGUCAGAUGUAUCUAGAUCAAAUUGCAGUAUCCAUCAGCCAGCGACAAGCACAACUAUCUAGUGAAGAGAUGGAUUAUAGAGCUUGUGACAACUUUGAUUCUAAUCCUAAAGCUCUACAGGACUCCUCUAAUUUUGUGUGUUGUGAUGAUAUAGUUGUAGUUGAUCCUAACUCUAAUGAUAAUAUUGUUGUUGUAGAUACUGUUGAUGCAGGUGUUGUUGGUGAUAUUGAGGAGCUAGCUGAGCCUGAUUAUACAUUUGUUGAUAAGGAAAGUGUAGGGGAUUGCAAAUUGGAAGAAAUGCCUCAAGAAUCACCUAUUUUUAUUGGACCAUCACUUGAACCAGAUGUGGAUGAUGAGAGUGUAGGGACUUGUGCUAUGGAGGCAGAGCCCCAAGAAUAACUUAUUUUUGAUGCACCACCAGAGUCUGAGCUAUUACUUGAUGAAGAGGAGGUCACAUCCACUGUUCUAGAACCUCCAAGUACAUUUCAGUACAGUAAGCUCUUCCUUACCCCACAUGCGUGUGGAAGGUGCAUUCUAUCCUUGGCCUUGCAAGUUUUUACAGGCCCUUGGAUUGGAUACUUUUACUAAACCACCUCCAGCCGGCAGGAACUAAAGAGAAAAUGGUGGAAGAAGCAAUUCUCUCCUUAGCUCGGAUCACUCCAUUUCCGGGUUGGAUGCUCAAAUUGAAUCUUCUUCAACCACCGGGAUGGAUUGUUUAUCAAGUUGUUCCCUUUCCUACAUGGAUUCUACUUCUAAACCUUCUUCAACCACCAGGAAUAAAGGGGAGUUCGUUCCUUUUCCUUCCUUUUCUUGCUUUCCUUUAUCUUUAUACUUGCAUGUUUGUUUGUAAACAUGCUUGGCUUUCAUACUUUGUGUUUUUGUUUUGCAUUUUGUUUGGUCUUGUUUAUACCUUGCUUGAUUUUGAGUCAUAUCUCCCUAGAUGUCCCUUUAUAAUGCUUUGAGAAUCGAAAAAAGAUAGUUAAGUUUGACUAUCAAGUUUUGGUUUCUUUGGUAUGGUUGGGUACAUUAAUUGCAUUAGUCAUUUGUUGUGGUGAUGGACUCUAUCUUGUCAGAUUAUGCAUGAUAUUUUGUUAUUCACCUAGUGAGGUUUUUUCCACACUUAUCCUUAAUCCUCUUGUGUGUGGUAGCACUUGUGAUACUUGACACUCUAGAACUUGCUUUGAUUCUUUUUGAAAUUAUAGUAACAUAAGCUUGCAUGAAUAUGAUAGAGGUAAAUUUUCUUAUUCAUCUCUUAGUUGUUCCUAUACUUUGUUGUUCUUACUAGUAAGCAUUUCACAUAUUGCUUUCAUGUUUCAUUGUACUUCCUUUUUCAUAUCUUCUCAUUGGCAUUAUAUUUUCAUUAUCAUUAUCAUUGUACUUCCCUUGUCAUAUCUUCUCAUUGUCGUUAUAUUUUCACUAACAUAUCUUUAUCGAUUCAUUCUUUCCUUGGUCAUGUGAUGAGAGCGUUGGGUGAUUGCAUGAAGAGUUACAUUUUCUUUGGCAUAUCUUUAUUGUUUUUUUUAGCCCCCUAUUGUUGAGUUUUAGAGAAUAUCAUUAUUUGUUAUAUUGUCCGAGACAGACAAGUUUAAGUGUGGGGGAGGCAAAUAUGUAUGGGCGAAUGCUUGUUGAAAAAAAAAUCUCUCUAUGCUUGUUGAAAAAAAAAAGAAAAGAAAAAAAUAAAGAAAAGAAAAUAACAAAGAAGGAAAAAAAAGUUGAAAAAAGUAUAAAAAGAGAGGAAAAAAAAAGUUCUCAAGCAUUUGUUAUUUUGUUAGUAAUGAACAAGAAGAAAUAUCUCCAUGGAAAGAUUGAUGUAUAUCCAUUUAACAUUAUUAUUGAGAGAUUCUCAUGAGUUAAGUUGUUAAUACAUAUAUGCAUUUUGGAGAUGUUAUAGUGGUUGAUGUAUAUCACAUUGAGAAUGUGCAAGGAGAGUUGAGUGUUGGAUGUUUGAGUGAGUUUUUAGCAUAUUAUUUGAUUGUAUUCUUCAUGUUGAUUACCCCAAUGCUGUCAUAUUCUCUUUGAAUUCCUUUGUUGUCUAUCCUUCUUGUUCUAUUGUUUACAUUUGUGGUUUUAUUAUUAUUCAUGACAAGUCCUCUUGAUUUGUGCGCACUUAUGUUUACAUUAGUGGAGAAGUAGAAAAUAAGCAAGCAUAUGGUAGUGCAAUGUCAUGAGUUGCUUUAGAGAGAGCUCCACUUUCAUGUCUAUAUUUAUGUGAGCAUUAGUGUAUAUAUUGUCCUUAUGAGGUUUUAUCAUGCUUAGUCUAUUCAAGUUGAUUGAAAUUACCAUGCUUGUUGACUUUUGUGAGAAUUGGAACCAUGAAUACCUUGAUUCUUAAAACUUGAUGAUCCUAAGUAACUUUCUUUUACUAAUUUCAAAGUAUUGUUAGGGAAUUGAUAGGGAGAUAAGUUUUUGGUUGCUUCCUAGUUUUAUUUCAUUUGCCCGAGACGUGCAAGAAUAAGUGUGGGGGAAUUGAUAAUUAGCAUUUUUAUGUAAUAUUUUAACUCUCAUACUUAGCAUUUUUAUCCUCUCAUUCACUUAAAUCUUGCUUAAUAUUAUGAUUCAUGAGUUGAGAUAUAUUUAUGAGCUUUUUAUGCUCUUUCCCUAAUUUUGCUAUUAUUUCAUGAUUUUUGUAGGGAAUUAAAGAGGAGCCAUAGACAUGAGUGGAGUCAAAUUAAUUGGACCCAAUGUUAAGGUUGAGCAUGAGCUAAUUUGAAGAGCUUGACUCAUUUCAUUCCAAUUUGGAUCAAUAAAGAAGUAGAGCUCCACUCUUCAAGCUCAAUCACAAAAGCCCAACUCAUCCAAUUUGGAGCCCAAUUUUGAACCCUAUUCUUAAUGCAUCAGGAUUCCAUUCCUAAUGGAUCUAUUUUCUCCAUCCAAAUCUGACCCGUUAAGAAACCUCUCCCUAUACUCACGCGACGGCACAGUGGAAGGGGGACCUCUCUGUUCGCAUCUCCUCUCGCGACUUCUCACUGAGCUAGGACUCAUGCAGCCACUCCUUCGUCUCCUCCUCCUUCACCAACAGUCGACGACCACCUCUGCUCAUCCAUCGUCGUCAGCCGAAGCUUGUCCCUCCAUCAUGUAUGAUUUCCAUUUCCCUUCCCUACUCGAACUUCUUCUCAGACGACAAAGUUGGUGGUGAAGAUAUCGAUAGCAGCUGGCGUUCUACCUUCGACCAUAUGGAAAUCUCACCAGAGGGGUUCUCCGGUGUGUAUUUUUCUUACACUCCCAAACCUCCACAACUCCUCCCCUGCUGGAAACAGUGAAGAAGGAAGCGGGAUUCAUCUUCAUCUCAUCAAGAAGAGGUUUUUAUGCAAAGACUCCAUCCGAGUGGUUCUUGGGUGGAGGAUUCACAUUAUCAAGUGGAAACUCCAGUUCUCGUCGGUUCUUCAUAGCCAACUACCGAAGCUUGGAGUUCAUUCUUUGGCCUUCUUGUGUGACAACAGGGGAGGAUAGAAGAGAAGAAGAUUGCACCCACUUCCUUCAUCCGAUCAGUUCAUCAUCCGUUCUUCCAACAGAGUAGCCCACAUUCGAACUCCAUCACAGCUAUACAAAGCAAGCUUGGUUCAUUUUAGUUUGAUAUGUGAUUUGAUGAUCUACUUUGUUGAUGUUUGAUUGUUUGAUUGUGUUCAUGUUUUAGUGCUGGUAUGAAUUCAUUAUUGGUUGAAUUGUAAUUGACUUGAAUUCUCCCA
Molecule: long non-coding RNA, 6049 nt
Organism: Zingiber officinale
Lineage: Eukaryota; Viridiplantae; Streptophyta; Magnoliopsida; Zingiberales; Zingiberaceae
Exons: 2
Source: RefSeq, a predicted model, not a curated record